GACGUAGGGUGCAAGCGUUGUCCGGAUUUAUUGGGCGUAAAGAGUUCGUAGGCGGUUUGUCAAGUCUGAUGUUAAAGGCCUGAGCUCAACUCGGGUAUGGCAUCGGAAACUGACAGGCUGGAGUGUGGUAGAGGCAAGGGGAAUUCCCGGUGUAGCGGUGAAAUGCGUAGAUAUCGAGAGGAACACCUGCGGCGAAGGCGGGUUGCUGGGCUGACACUGACGCUGAGGCGCGAAAGCUAGGGGAGCGAACGGG
RNAcentral lists this ribosomal RNA (253 nucleotides) under uncultured bacterium. Its description in RNAcentral is "partial 16S ribosomal RNA". It matches the Rfam family "Bacterial small subunit ribosomal RNA", at positions 524 to 776 of the family's 1533-position model. The record is from RNAcentral.